AUCCAACUGAAGAGUUCCAAAUAGGACGAAAGUCGCGUCCUGGAU
This 45-nucleotide non-coding RNA is filed under the name Schistosoma margrebowiei. The record is from RNAcentral. Lineage: Eukaryota; Metazoa; Platyhelminthes; Trematoda; Strigeidida; Schistosomatidae.